This 486-nucleotide ribosomal RNA is filed under the name uncultured bacterium. RNAcentral's name for it is "partial 16S ribosomal RNA". It matches the Rfam family "Bacterial small subunit ribosomal RNA", at positions 30 to 507 of the family's 1533-position model. The record is from RNAcentral.
AUUGAACGCUGGCGGCAUGCCUUACACAUGCAAGUCGAACGGCAGCACGGGUGCUUGCACCUGGUGGCGAGUGGCGAACGGGUGAGUAAUACAUCGGAACAUGUCCUGUAGUGGGGGAUAGCCCGGCGAAAGCCGGAUUAAUACCGCAUACGAUCUACGGAUGAAAGCGGGGGACCUUCGGGCCUCGCGCUAUAGGGUUGGCCGAUGGCUGAUUAGCUAGUUGGUGGGGUAAAGGCCUACCAAGGCGACGAUCAGUAGCUGGUCUGAGAGGACGACCAGCCACACUGGGACUGAGACACGGCCCAGACUCCUACGGGAGGCAGCAGUGGGGAAUUUUGGACAAUGGGCGAAAGCCUGAUCCAGCAAUGCCGCGUGUGUGAAGAAGGCCUUCGGGUUGUAAAGCACUUUUGGCCGGAAAGAAAUCCUUGGCCCUAAUACGGUCGGGGGAUGACGGUACCGGAAGAAUAAGCACCGGCUAACUACGUG